CGACCUCAGAUCAGACGAGGCGAUCCGCUGAAUUUAAGCAUAUUACUAAGCGGAGGAAAAAACUAACGAGGAUUCCCCCAGUAGCAGCGAGCAAAGAGGGAAGAGCCUGCCGCCGAAUCCCCAUCUGCGCGGCGGGCAAGGGAAAUGUAGUGUAUGGAAGACUGCUCGACCGGGGCUUCAGCCAGGGGCCCCAAGUCCUUCUGAUCGAGGCUCAGCCCGUGGACGGUGUGUGGCCGGUAGUGGGCCCCCGUCGUGCAGCGGCACAGUCAACCCGGAGUCAGGUUGCUUGGGAAUGCAGCCCAAAGCAGGUGGUAAACUCCAUCUAAGGCUGAAUACCAGCACGAGACUGAUAGUUAAGUACCGUAAGGAAAAGUUGAAAAGAACUUUGAAGAGGGAGUUCAAGAGGGCAUAAAACCGUUAAGAGGUAAAUGGGUGGGGUCCGCGCAGUCCACCUGGAGGAUUCAACUCGGCGGGUUAACGGCGGUCGGACGUCCCAGGUUUCUCCCAUCGGAUUCCCUCUUUCCUCAUCCGUCCCUCCUCCCAAUCCCCCCGGGGGAGUGCAGCGUCAGGGUGGAAGAAAAGGGGACCGUGGCCUGGCCAGACUCGGCCCUUGCCGAGCACAUUUCCUCCGCAGUCGGUGCGCUGUGACCGGUUCUGGGUCGGCAUGGAAGGGCUCCUGGUUUUUCAGGAAGGUUGCUCGGCAGCCCCUAAACAAGGCGUUGAGCAUUACAGCCCCCUGCUACCCCGACCUCGCCGUUUCCCAGGGCAAAGAAAAAGGACUUCCGCCACGCUGCUCCUCCCUCCCAUAUGCCGGGCACCACCGGACGGUGGGGACGACCAGAGGGCUGGAGCCCCGAUGCAACUGCAAAACCGGGUCAGACUGUCCUCAGUGUGCUCCCGACUGCGUUGCGCUGCCCAGGGUAGGAAUUGACCCAUGACAAAAGGCGCCGGGGUCAGCGGCAAUGUAGGCGACCCACCUGAACGGUCUUGAAAGAUGGACUAAGGAUUCUGACACGCGUACGAGUCCAAGGGUUCAAGCGAAACCUGAAGGGUGCAAUGANAACUAGCUGUGUUCUUCAUCAACGCACGAGUUGAGUGAUCCACUGCUAAGAGUCGGUGAACCUCGGUGUAGCAAGUGGUAGGUAGCUAACUAGGUUUGCUUGAGACAGUCAAUUCCGUCAUGGACAAGUUCUUGGUACCAAACUGCCACAAUCAUGUUAAGUCUUCUUGUUAAACAUCAGUCUUAACAUUUCAACCCCUUUAAGAAGGUGGAAUCUUCAACCUCCUGAUGCUACACAUAUCUCAGGCCAGUUCCCCAGAGCUUAUUUCUUAUAGCUCUACCAUUACCACGAUUAGCAACUUCCCUCUCUCUUCUGGUUAAUUCCCAUCUACCUUCAAAAAUUCUUAACUCACAGCUGUAAAAGAAAAUUCUUUGGAUCCAGAAUCAGUCCACAACUUUAUGCCAGUUUAUCUUUUUCUCUCAUUUACAUUUAUUCAUUUAGCAGACGCUUUUGU
This 1515-nucleotide non-coding RNA is filed under the name Scleropages formosus (Asian bonytongue). RNAcentral describes it as "Eukaryotic large subunit ribosomal RNA". It matches the Rfam family "Eukaryotic large subunit ribosomal RNA", at positions 1 to 807 of the family's 3401-position model. Lineage: Eukaryota; Metazoa; Chordata; Actinopteri; Osteoglossiformes; Osteoglossidae. The record is from Rfam by way of RNAcentral.